Lonchura striata (white-rumped munia) is the source of this 415-nucleotide non-coding RNA. The record is from RefSeq and is a predicted model, not a curated record. NCBI's taxonomy places the organism in Eukaryota, Metazoa, Chordata, Aves, Passeriformes, Estrildidae.
GAACCCUUGAUUGGGACAGCAUUUUUCUAGGUGCUGUGGACUCCAAGAGUAAGAGACAAUCCCUGUCCUAAAGAUUGUAACCAUUCAGUUAUGCAAGAUGGGUAAGAAGAGGAAGAAAGGACAUUCCCUUUGUGGUCCAGUGCCUUCCCUAGCUGGCUCCCAGUGUCCAGAAGUUACCUUCUACACACUCCAUGUACCUUCUACACUGCUUCCUAUCUGCUGUGUUGUCUUUCCAACAGACACCUGAUGAGCUACUCUCCAGUUGAGCAGCCAUUCAAGCAGAGACGCAUAGGAUGCACAAGACCAGAGAGGGAGUAUGUCUCUCAUUAAUUACUGUGUGAAGUCAGCUGCAGUUUAGUUUGCCAUUUUACAGUUUCUCCUACUUUAGUAAUCCCCAUUUUGUCUCUGGCAAGCC